This 462-nucleotide ribosomal RNA is filed under the name uncultured bacterium. Its description in RNAcentral is "partial 16S ribosomal RNA". It matches the Rfam family "Bacterial small subunit ribosomal RNA", at positions 29 to 507 of the family's 1533-position model. The record is from RNAcentral.
AGUGAACGCUGGCGGCGUGCCUAAUACAUGCAAGUCGAACGGAGAUUAAGUAGCUUGCUAUUUAAUCUUAGUGGCGCACGGGUGAGUAAUAUAUAGCUAACUUGCCCAUUACUAAGGGACAACAGUUGGAAACGACUGCUAAUACCUUAUACUCCGUAUCUAUAUAAGUAGAUACGGGAAAGUUUUUCGGUAAUGGAUAGGGCUAUAUCGUAUCAGCUAGUUGGUAAGGUAAUGGCUUACCAAGGCUAUGACGCGUAACUGGUCUGAGAGGAUGAUCAGUCAGACUGGAACUGAGAGACGGUCCAGACUCCUACGGGAGGCAGCAGUAGGGAAUAUUGAUCAAUGGGGGAAGCCCUGAAGCAGCAACGCCGCGUGGAGGAUGACACUUUUCGAAGCGUAAACUCCUUUUCUUGGGAAAGAAUUAUGACGGUACCCAAGGAAUAAGCACCGGCUAACUCCGUG